GCACUAUCAGCUAGUUGGUGAGGUAAUGGCUCACCAAGGCUAUGACGGUUAGGAGGCUCGAGAGGGUAUUCUCCCACAUUGGCACUGAGACACUGGCCAAACUCCUACGGGAGGCUGCAGUCGAGAAUCUUCGUCAAUGCACGCAAGUGUGAACGAGCGACGCCGCGUGAGCGAUGACGCCCUUCGGGGUGUAAAGCUCUUUUAUUGGGGACAAACUUUGAUGGUACCCAGUGAAUAAGAGGUUGCUAACUCUGUGCCAGCAGCAGCGGUAAUACAGAGACCUCAAGCGUUAUCCGGAUUUAUUGGGCGUAAAGAGUCUGUAGGUUGAAUAAAUAGUCAGAAGUCAAAUUUUAGGGCUUAACCUUAAAACUGCAUUUGAAACGUUUGUUCUAGAGGACGGUAGGGGCAAGUAGAACUUAUAGUGUAGCAGUAAAAUGCGUUGAUAUUAUAAGGAAUACCAAAAGCGAAGGCAUCUUGCUGGACCGUUCCUGACACUGAGAGACGAAAGCGUGGGUAGCGAAUGGGAUUAGAUACCCCAGUAGUCCACGCUGUAAACGAUGGAUAUUAGGCAUUAGGAGUGUCGACCCUUUUAGUGCCGAAGCUAACGCGUUAAAUAUCCCGCCUGGGAAGUACGGCCGCAA
This 641-nucleotide ribosomal RNA is filed under the name uncultured bacterium. RNAcentral's name for it is "bacterial SSU rRNA". It matches the Rfam family "Bacterial small subunit ribosomal RNA", at positions 235 to 891 of the family's 1533-position model. The record is from RNAcentral.